This 241-nucleotide ribosomal RNA is filed under the name Cucumispora dikerogammari. RNAcentral describes it as "partial small subunit ribosomal RNA". It matches the Rfam family "Microsporidia small subunit ribosomal RNA", at positions 52 to 235 of the family's 1311-position model. The record is from RNAcentral. Lineage: Eukaryota; Fungi; Microsporidia.
GCAUGUGUAAGCGAACAAGAGGAAGCUGCGGACUGCUCAGUAACAGACAUAUAAUUUAAUCUUUACAGAAACGAGCGGAAUAAACUCAGGAAACAGAGUGCAAUACGUAAAAGACGAAUUUUUUAUUAUAAGAAAUACGUUUUUAGCUUGAACAAAGCGGUAAAGAAUAAGUUGUCAGCCUAUCAGUUAGUAAGUAGGGUAAGGGCCUAUUUAGACGAAGACGGGUACGGGGAAUUAGAGU